RNAcentral lists this ribosomal RNA (468 nucleotides) under uncultured bacterium. RNAcentral's name for it is "partial 16S ribosomal RNA". It matches the Rfam family "Bacterial small subunit ribosomal RNA", at positions 28 to 507 of the family's 1533-position model. The record is from RNAcentral.
GACGAACGCUGGCGGCGUGCUUAACACAUGCAAGUCGAACGGAAAGGCCCUGCUUUUGUGGGGUGCUCGAGUGGCGAACGGGUGAGUAACACGUGAGUAACCUGCCCUUUACUUUGGGAUAACUUCAGGAAACUUUGGCUAAUACCGGAUAGGAGCUCCUGCUUCAUGGUGGUUGUUGGACAGUUUCGGCGGUUGGUGAUGGACUCGCGGCUUAUCAGCUUGUUGGUGGGGUAGUGGCUUACCAAGGCUUUGACGGUUAGCCGUCCCGCGAGGGUGACCGGGCACCUCGGGAUUGAGAUACGCCAAGGACCCCUACGGCAGGCAGCAGUGGGGCAUAUUGACCCAUGGGCGGAAGCAUGCCGGACGCACGCCGCGUGCGGGAUGACGGCCUUCGGGUUGUAACCCGCUUUGGCAUGUGACGAAGCGUGAGCGACGGUCCUGGGUAAAGAAGCCCCGGCUACCUCCGUG